RNAcentral lists this ribosomal RNA (433 nucleotides) under uncultured bacterium. RNAcentral's name for it is "partial 16S ribosomal RNA". It matches the Rfam family "Bacterial small subunit ribosomal RNA", at positions 29 to 507 of the family's 1533-position model. The record is from RNAcentral.
AGCGAACGCUGGCGGCAGGCUUAACACAUGCAAGUCGAGCGGGCACUUCGGUGUCAGCGGCAGACGGGUGAGUAACACGUGGGAACGUACCCUUUGGUUCGGAAUAACGCUGGGAAACUAGCGCUAAUACCGGAUACGCCCUUUUGGGGAAAGGCUUGCUGCCGAAGGAUCGGCCCGCGUCUGAUUAGCUAGUUGGUGGGGUAAUGGCCUACCAAGGCGACGAUCAGUAGCUGGUCUGAGAGGAUGAUCAGCCACACUGGGACUGAGACACGGCCCAGACUCCUACGGGAGGCAGCAGUGGGGAAUAUUGGACAAUGGGCGCAAGCCUGAUCCAGCCAGGCCGCGUGAGUGAUGAAGGCCUUAGGGUUGUAAAGCUCUUUUGUCCGGGACGAUAAUGACGGUACCGGAAGAAUAAGCCCCGGCUAACUUCGUG